CAGCCUACGGGGGGCAGCAGUGGGGAAUAUUGCACAAUGGGCGAAAGCCUGAUGCAGCGACGCCGCGUGAGUGAAGAAGUAUUUCGGUAUGUAAAGCUCUAUCAGCAGGGAAGAAAAUGACGGUACCUGACUAAGAAGCCCCGGCUAACUACGUGCCAGCAGCCGCGGUAAUACGUAGGGGGCAAGCGUUGUUCGGAAUUACUGGGCGUAAAGGGAGUGUAGGCGGUUUAGUAAGAUAGUGGUGAAAUCCCAGGGCUUAACUUUGGAAUUGCCAUUAUAACUAUUAGACUAGAAUUACAGAGAGG
RNAcentral lists this ribosomal RNA (305 nucleotides) under uncultured bacterium. Its description in RNAcentral is "bacterial SSU rRNA". It matches the Rfam family "Bacterial small subunit ribosomal RNA", at positions 332 to 657 of the family's 1533-position model. The record is from RNAcentral.